Molecule: long non-coding RNA, 19249 nt
Filed under: Gallus gallus (chicken)
Lineage: Eukaryota; Metazoa; Chordata; Aves; Galliformes; Phasianidae
Source: RNAcentral
GGCAGUCUGAUCGUGUCUUCCUCCAUCCUGAUCGCUCGAGGCACUGGGACAUGUAGUGGUGACGAGGAAGUGUAAUUUGGUACUGGGCUGGCUGGAGGUGUGUACGAAAUUCUCUCUUGCUUGAUGCAGCACUGGGCAGCAGGCUCAGACAUCUCUCAGGAGGAGCUCCGCGCAGCCCAGCGGGCGGCCGGGAACUUCUGGGGCUCUUCCCACCUCCCGCUCCCCGCCGGCCCCUCAGGAGGAAGUUGCGGCCGCCACCGCGGCCCGCGGAGCUGCCCGGGGUCCCCUCCCCGCCGCCGCGCUCCGGGGGGCGCUCGGAAGCUGCCGCCCCCCGCCGCGCGUGGCCGUGUGCGCGCGUGUGCGGGACCGCGCGUGUGUGAGCGCGCGUGUGCGCGGGGCAGAGGGGGGAGCGCGAGGCGGGGGGAGGGAGGGAGAGGGCGGGCGCUGCCGCCGCGGCCCCCGCUGCCCACCAGUGUUUUCCUUCCUGGAAGAGAAACCGAAAGGCGGCGCGGGCCCGGCCGGCCGUGCCCCGCCCAUGGAGCCGGAGUUUCGGGGGCCCGAAAGUGACGUGAGUUCCCGGCAGCCGGCCCCGCCCCUUAAAGGUGCCGCUGCGGCGCGAAACGGCCGCGAUCGGCCGCCGCCCGCGUGCGCCCUGGCGCUGAAGGAGAGCCGAGAGGAAGGGGUCCGGGCGGGCGCGGCCCGGCUGGGGCCGGCGUGCUGCGUUCGGCACCGAUCCGCCGGGGGGAGGCGGCGCGGGAGGGCCGUUGAGACGCGCCAGCGUGGGCGGAGAACCCAGCGAACGGGUGGAAGGCGCUGAGGGAGGCGGUGAGCGGAGCGGCGACGACAACAAUGGCCUUUGUUCCGCAGGCGGGGCGGCCCCUUUAAGAGCGCAGACCUGGAAGUGGCACGGGAAGUCCGGGCAGGGCGCAGCGGUGGCUCUGCGCGGCCUUACAGUAGGCGGCGGAGGCGACAAGGAGCCCCGAGUAGGAGUGCGGCAGUGGGGGGGUGGCGGUGUUCGCAGCACCACACACACAUACACACUAUGGAGAAGGGAGCUCCGCGCUUCGCAAAGCGUGGCACGGCGCCCAGUGGUCAGCACCGCGCCUUCUCCCAGCCUGGCGUGCUGGGGACGCGGUGUCUGCCAACGCGUGUGGCGCGGCCGCAGUGUGGAAGCGCCGGGCUCUGUUUUGCCGAUAGGGUCCCACACGUCGGGGUCCGGCGGGGCUUCCCGCAGCACAUCGGGCGGACACGUCGGGUCACGGGGCAGUGCGUGCGUGUUGCAGAGCGGCACGGCGCUAACGCAGGCGGGCGCGUACAGUUGGCCGAGCAAAGUGCUGCGCGCAGAAAGUGAAAUAGAGCUGUGCCGCGUUUGUUGGUAACUUCCACGGGAAUGUCGGGUGUGAUCUGCGGCCGAACGUCAGAGACGGGUAGCGUGGGGUGGGUUGCGUUUCCUUGUUUUGGAGACGGGUCACUUUGGAAUAGGAGGCUUGUGCUCGCAGCGGGUGGGCACCGAGAGCGCUGCUGGUUUUGGGAACGGUAAAACCUCUCGUUUCCUCGCCUUGGUGCAGUGUGUUACAGAGUUGUCUGGAGAGGGAUACAUCCACGGCAGGAGGGAGCCAAGGCCGUGUACCGGAGUCUUGAAAUUACUGACUGCUGACUUUUCAUUACCCUUAAAAUAGACCCUUUACAUUACAUACAGUGUGUGGGGGGCCGCGCAUGAGGUCAUACCCCCCCCCAACCCCCCUUGUUCCUGCUGUUUGCAUGGAUAUCUCCUGCUCUUCAGUCCCAGCCUUCAUCACAAGAUGUGGUGAGAAAGGCACCUGCUCUCCCAGGACGGGAGGCUGCUAGGAUCUGCCGGUAGGCAUCCUGGGGCAGGCUGCCACAGGCCAUUUUGCAAACCAGGACCAAAUAACUCCCUGUGCUCUCUUGCAGCUUGUUACAGCUUCGUUUUAAGCAGUCCGGGAAACUAAAGAAGAAAGAGGAAGGGAAAAUAAUAUUCCCUCUCAGCUUAGCAACUGAUGACUUUUUAAUAUAGGGCCAACUCAAUAACAAAGAAAGCUUAUCUACUCUGCUUCACUCUACGGGACUGCGCUGCUGGAGAAGAGUCAUUGCAUCUUGAUUGCUUUUAUGGUGCAGCUCUCUCUGCUAUUAUUCUCUCUGCUUCAUCAUUGUAUGACAUUUUCCCUUUCUUCCUGCAUGAUUACCUCUGGCUUUCCCCAAGUGCUGAGUCAUUAUUCUGUACCUCACAGCAAAGGAGCUUUGUGAUUCCUUAUGUUAAAUGUAGAAAUAAGAGAUGGAAAGAACCUGUUAGGUCAUCCACUCCACAUCCCCACUGGUAGAGUAUUUACAGCACACAAUCGAUCCAUCCAUGUUAGUUUUAAGUUACUUAGGUAAUGGGGCUUCCACCUCUUCCUUUUGGAGUCUGUUUCGUGGACUAACAGCUCCCAUGGUUGGGAAAAUAUUUGGUCCAUAUCUUCAUUUGUCCAGUUUCACCCAAUUACUCCUGGUUAUAACUGUGUAUUUUACUACCCUUUUUUUUUUUUUUUUUUCUCUUUUAUGGCUCUCUGUGCUUUUCACCCAGGUAUCACUUCUUUUCCUAGCCAUUGACAUUUGUUCUUUUUAUCUCCUUGUUUUAUCAGUUCCUGCAGCCACUUUGUCACUGUCAUUGGUCUUUAAUUCUCACCCAUCUCCCCGGCUGCUUUUAGAAACAGGUAACUUCCCCAGUCUUUUGUGAAUGUAGCCAAUGCUCCAUAAUGGUUUAGUCUGUCUGCAAGUUGCCUCACCAGCUUCAAAAUUUGUCAUCUGCCACCACCAUGAAUCAGUGUUAUGGACCCUCUUACUCUUCAAUGUUUCCUCUUGCAAUAUAAUUGUAAUCUCAUAUUCUCCAUGACAGCUAUGGUGAAGCUGUGUGUCCUGGGUCUAAUUUUUUUCUACCCGUGGUUUUGAUAUUCGCACGUCCACUCCUUCUGGGUUCUCUGGUAUCUAUGCAAAUCUUCAUCCAUUUUGGUUCCUCUCAUUAGUUGCAAUCUCCUGAGACCUCAGACUACAUGGUCCUGGCCACUGUGCUGUACAGGAGACAGGAAAUGCUACCACGUCUCCUGGUGAGCAGCAUGGUCUGUGGCUGCACACAGUUGCUCUGGAGAUGUGAGGAGAAAGCUUCUCCAGCUGUCAGCUUCCCUUUAGAUCUGUUCUGUAUGGACUUUGUCCAGAGCAGAAUGGAAGUGCAUUAGCUAAUAUUAAACCUGGAAUGGGCUCCCAGCUAGUUUCUUUCCCUCUCACCAAGAGUCUACUGCUCAGCUUAUCUACAGGGAGGAUCCUGUUGUUCAAAGCAAGAUUUAUGAUCUCACAGAGCCACCUUUCAUAGAUGCGCAUGCCAGAAAUCCCCAAACUUUUUGCUCAAAUAGGUGGUAGCAAUACUAAUUCAGGCAAAAAGUAAUCCUAUUCUAGCCUGUAAAGUGACACCAAGUUCCUGCCUUUAUUAGCGCUGUCAUGGGAGAGGGAGACUGUGGUGUUGGAAGGCAAGAGCAGGAUGAGAAAACUGUGAACUGAAGAAUGAUCUUUUUGCUUGUAGUGGCCUGAAAAUCUGGCAUUGGGUGCUCAUACUUUCUAGUCUAGAGUUUGUCCCUGAAAACAGAGCAAGCCCCUGCUUGUAGUAGGUGACUCCCUAUUUAAAGGCGCUGAGGCUCACUCCCCUCUGCUUGCCUGACAUGGCCAUCUGGAGAGGCCUCCUGCUUCCCAGGAGCCAAGAUCUGAGACAUUGCCAAGAGAGUGCCACAGCUUGUCAAGAGCAUGGAACUACUAUUUGCUACUGCUCUUUCAUGUGGGCAUGAAUGACAAUGGAAACUGGAACAUAGGCAGAAUCAAAAAGACUAUAAAGCCCUGGGAGCACAAGUGAAGAACACUAGUGCCCAAGUUAACUUCUCUUCAGUUUUACCAGUUGGAGGAGAGAGGGCAGCCAAAAAUAGAGUUAUAAUGCAUGUCAACUCCUGGAUAUGUGGUUGGCACAUGAAGUUUUUGUUUCUUAUGACAGUGGGACUUUCUAUGAAGAUUAUAACCUUUUAGGGAAAGGGUGGGAUCCACCUGCCUAGAAGAGGCAGGACCACCUUUGGCAGCAGGCUGGUUAACAUAGUAAGGUGAGCUUUAAACUGAAUGACUUUGGGAGUGCGAUCAAAAAUGCAAUUCUCAUGGCACACUCACAACUGGAGAAUGAGCCAAGCCAAUCAGAACUGUGAUAAAUGUUCCUUAGCUACCUCCCAUGACAUGAGCCUGAAGAACAGUCACUUCAACAGUGUGUAUAGCUAUGGGGAAUACUCCUGCAUUCCUCUAGGGAUACCUGCAUUCUCAGCUCCCUUUUCUUCUCUGAAGUGACUAUGUACCAAUGUGCACAGUGUGGCAAAUAAGUAGGAAAAAGUAGAGAGCAGUUGCAGGACCUUGAUUUCGUUGUGAUCACAGAGACAUGGUAGGACAGCUUGCAUGACUGCAAUGCUAUCCUAGAUGGCUAUGUACUUUUUAAGAAAGACAAGGCCAGUAAGACAAGAUAGUGGAACUGCUCUUUGUGUGAGAGAACAACUGGAAGGUAUUGAGCUCUGCCAGGAGAUGAAUGAUGAACCACUGGAAAGCUUAUGGGUGAGGAUUAAGGGGCAGGCUAAUAUGACACUGCUGUGGAUGUUUAGUUCAGACCACCUGAUCAAGAGGAGGAAGUUGGUGAGGCCUUCUGCAGACAGAUGAAAGUAGCAAUUUGCAAUCCUGGGCUUCAGGAGAGCCAACUAUGACCUCUUCAAGGACCUAUGUGGAGGUAUGCCAUGGGUUAGAGCACUGGAAGGUAAGGGAGCCCAAGAGAGUUGGUUGACAUUCUAGCACCAGUUCUUCCAAGCUGAAGAUCAGUGCAUCCCUAAGAAUUAGAAAUCAAGCAAAGGUGGCAGGGACACAUAUGGAUGAGCAAGGAGCUCAUGGAAAAAUUCCAGUGGAAGCAGAUAGUCUAUGGAAUGUAGAAGGGGGGUCUGGUCAGUUGGAAGGAGUGUAGGAACAUUGUCAGGGCAUGCAGGAUUGCAGUGAGGAAGGCUAAAGCCCACUUGGUAUUAAAUCUGGUGAGGGAGAUCAAGGACAAAAAGAAAGACUUCUUUAAGUAUGUCAGUAGCAAAAGGAAGACUAGGGAAAAUGUGGGUCCCCUGCUGAAUGAGACAGAUGCCGCACUAACAGAGGACACUGAACAGGCAGUUACUGAAUGCUUUUUUUGCUGCAGUCUUUACUGCUAAUGCUGCCCCUCAGAAAUCCCAGACCAUGGAGGUAAUAGAGAGAGAGUCUGGGGAAAGGAAAACUUCCCCUGUUUGUGGAGGUUCUGGUCAGAAAUCAUCUAGGCAGACUCAACACACACAAAUCUAUGGGCCCUGAUAGAAUGCACCCAUGAGUGCUGCGGGAGCUGGAGAAGUGAUUGGCAAACCACUCUCGAUUAUCAUCUUUGAAAAGUCAUGGAGAAUGAGAGAGGUGCCUGAGGACUGGAGGAAAGCCGGUGUAACUGCAGUCUUCAAAAAGGGCAAGAAAGAGGAGCUGGGAAAAUACUGGCCAGUCAGACUCACCUCCAUGCCUGGGAAGGUGAUGGAACAGGUUGUUCUGAAUGUCAUUUCCAAACAAGUGGAAGAAAAGAAGGUUAUCAGGAGUAGUCAACAUGGAUUCUCCAAGGGGAAAUCAUGCUUGACCAAUCUGAUAGUCUGUGAUGUCAUGACCAGCUGGGUAGAUCAGGGGAGAGCAGUGGACGUUGUCUACUUUGGCUUCAGCAAGGCUUUUGACAAUCUUUCAUAACAUCCUUGUAGGUAAGAUUAGAAAGUGUGGGAUAGACAAAUGGACUGUGAGAUGGAUUGAAAAUUCUCUGACUGGCAGAGCUCAGUGGGUUGUGGUCAGUGGCAUGUGAAGUCUAGUUUGAGGCCUGUGGCUAGCAAUGUUAUCCAGGAAUUGAUACUGGAUCCAAACUUGUUUAACAUUUUAGUCAAUGACCUGGGUGAAGGGAUAGAGUUGCACUCAGCAAGUUUGCUGAUGAUAUGAAGCUGAGAGGAGUGGUUGACAUACCAGAAGGCCGUGCUGCCAUUCAGCGAGACCUGGACAGGCUAGAGAAUUAGGCGGAGAGAAACCUAAUGAGGUUCCACAAGGCAAGUGUAGAGUCCUACAUCUAAGGAGGAAUAACCACACUCAUCUGGUACGGUUUAGGGGCUGAUCUGCUGGAAGGGAGCUCUGCAGUGAAGGACCUGGGUGUCCUGGUGGACAACAGGUUGACCAUAAGCCAGCAAUAUGCCCUUGUGGCUAAGAAUGACAAUGAUAUCCUGGAGUGCCUAAAAUAGAACAUGGCCAGCAGGUCAAGGGAGGUGACCAUCCCCUUCUACUCUGCCUUGAUGAGGCUACAUCUGGAGUACUGUCUCCAAUUCUGGGUUCCUUAGUUCAAGAAAAAUGAGAAGUUUCUAGAGAGAGUCCAUCAGAGGCCCACAAAGAUUAUUAGGGGCCUGGAACAUCUCCUGUAUGAGGAACAGCUGAGAGACCUGGGACUGGUUCAACCUGGAGAAGACUGUGGGGGGAUCUUACCAACAUUUACAAAUAUCUAAUGGGAGGGAGUCAAGUGGAUGAGGUCAGGCUCUUUUCAGUGCUGUACAGUGACAGGCCAAGAGGCAAUGGACACAAGCCAGAACAUAAAAGUUCCAUACACGCGAGGAAAAACUUAACUUUGAGGGUGACUGAGCACUGAACAAGCCGCCCUGAGAAGUUGUGGAGUCUCCUCUGGAGAUAUUCAAAACCUGCCUGGGUGCUUUCCUCUGUAACUUGCUCUAGGGAGCCAGCUUUAGCAAGAGUGUUGGAAUAGAUGAUCUCCAGAGGUCCCUUCUGACCCCUAUGGCUCUGUGAUUCUUUGAAAAGGAGGCUAACUAACCUUUCAAUGAGACUUUUAAUUUUCAGUGUGCAGCGAUGUGUCUGCACGCCAGCUGCCACCAGUUCUCCCUCUGUCACCAGCUCUCUUUCUGCCGUCACUUAUUCAACUGCUGGGCUAAUUUUCUCAGAUCUCCCUGAAGGAUGGAACCUGUUUAUCAAAGGAAUUUACACAUUUCAGAAGCUACAUCCAGGGUUUUCAUUUGUCCCUUUGUGUACUGUUUUUCCAGUUUCAGCAGUGUAGAGCAGUAGUUCAGACACAUGCAACAAUCACGGAUUUCACCUCACUUCUGAAUAAAGUUUGUGUUCAUGCUUUUUAUAUCUACGGAGGCAGUCACUAGUUCUAAGUGCCCAUAGUUAUCAUUAGCUCAUUCUACUGUUUCUCUGCUGAUAGCUUUUCUUUGCUUUUAUCUUUGCCCAGCAAAACUUAACUCAUUCAUUUAUUUAGUUCUUGCUUCUUUCUUCUUUUUGUGAUACUAGUUUCAUUUUCACCUUCUAAAGUUCAAGCAGACACAAAUAGUCACUUGAUGGUUUUUUUUCUCCUUUAAAUUUCCUGGAUGGAAAGAGGUGUACUGUUCCUCCAGUACACACUUUGCUAAGGCACAUCACAUUUGGGUCUCCUUUUGUCCCUUACCUCUGAAGAUCCUGACCCUAUAGCUCAGUCUACUGACAUUACUGUGUAAUCUCAACAGAGGUUACUCUUAGAGAUUCAGGCACAGCAUCAAGUUCUUAAGGAACAAAACACAGUUGGAGAUGGUAGUAAAUUCCAAGAAUGUGAAAGCAAUUAAGACGAACAUCGAUGUUAGAAUGCAGGGGAGGUUUUGAUCUGGAGGAAAAAACAGGAAAUCCAUGCAAGUUGGUACACAGAUGUGCUCUGAUAGGGAUCCCCCAUUGCACGUUUAGCACUAAGAUUCUUUUGUCCUUAGCAAAUUGAUUUCUGAAACUGAAGUGUGUUUUAAUGACCCUGGUAUGCAUCAGUCACAUCACUUUUCGUCAUUUGCAGUAAGAUUAGCUUUCAGUUCAUAAUCCCAGGGAAAUCCUUUUCCCAAGGUUCACUCAGGCUAAUGUUUCCUGUAGUAGAAGUCUCAUGCUUGGCUUUUCAGGAAUACAUAAAUACAUAUAUACAUAGGACAUUUUGAAUUAAUGCCACCUAUUUAUCUCCAUGGAAACUGCAACAGAUACAAAACACAAUAAUGCUAUUCGACAGAACUAGUUCUAAGCUACAAAACACCAUUUUUCAACAGUCACCACCAUUAGCUGAUUUGUGUGGAUGAGCUCAUCAAGAUGUUCCUCAUUUUGCAGUGUGACAGGCAGCUGUGCAUGGAUGUCUAGAACAUCACUUGUCUUUUCACAUCACUGUCAUCACUGCUGAGGUGCACCACUCACCCCCUUACUGUGCUCACAUCCACUGUUUGGUCUCUAUAAAUGCUCAGCAAGCAUUGAUGAAGAUCAGUGGGUGCCAUUUUUUCUGUUUGGAGGAAUCCAGUGACACACCUUUGCUUCAUACACCACUCCCAUGUCAGACACCAUUUUGUCAAACUGCCCCUCUGCUGCCAUCUGUCACACAGCGACAAAAUAUAAUGGAAUACUGUCAGGAAGGUUUAACCUCUACUGCCAUCUCACCAACAUCUUCCUCUGGUGUCAUGGACUGACAUAAUAAAAGAGGAGGCAAUACUUUUAGAGCAGCCCUCAUGUAUGUAAUUUGUAUAGAAAUAUAUUUUUAUGUAUUUUAGUAGAAAUAUAAAAUACAUUUUCUUACUUACAUACAUUAACUAUAUUAUGUGUUUUGUGAGAGCUGCUCUGAAAGUAAUGCCUCCUAUUUUAUGAUGUCCCAUGACAUCAGAGGCAGAUAUUGGUGAGACGGCAGUAGAGGUUUAACUUCCCCAACAAUGUUUGGUUACAUUUUGUUGCCAAGUGACAGAUGGCAGCAGAGAGACAGUCUGACAAAAUGAUGUCUGACAUGAAAACAUGUAUGAAGCAAAGGUGUGUCAUCAAAUUCCUUCGUAUGGAAAAAAUUGCACCCAGUGACAUUCAUCAAUACUUGCUGUACAUUUAUGAAGGCCAAACAGUGGAUGUGAGCACAGUGAGGUGGUGAGUGAUGCAUUUCAGCAGCAGCAGCAGUGACAGUGGGUCACCUCUGCUGGUGUAGAUUGUUAUGAGUACAGCACAGAAUCACAGAAUCAUCAAAUCCUUAGAGUUGGAAGGGACCCUUAAAGAUCAUCUUGUCCAACUCCUCUGCAAUGAACAGGGACAUCCGCAGCUAGAUCAGGGCCUGAUCCAGCUUUGCCUUGAAAGUCUCCAGGGACAGGGGAGAGUCUGUCCUCUUCUUUCCUGUAGCUCCCCCCUUUAGGUUUUGGAAGGCCACUAUCAGGUCACUUCCAAGCCUUCUCUUCUCCAGGCUGAACAGCCCCAGCCCUUUCAGUCGGUCCUUAUAGGAGAGGUGUUUCAUCCCUUGGAUCAUUUUUCUGGCCUUCCUCUGGACGUGCUCCAGUACGUGUGUGUCUGUCCUGUACUGAGGACUCCACAUCUGGAUGCAGUGCUCCAAGUGAGGCUUCACCUGCACAGAGUAGAGGGGCAGGAUCACCUCCCUCAGCCUGCUGGCUGUUUUUUUUUAGAUGCAGCCCAGAAUACAAUUGGCUUUCUGGGCUGCAAGAACACACUGCUGACUCAUGUCCAGCUUCCCAUCCACCAGUACCCCCAGGUCCUUUUUGGCAGGGUUGCACUCAAUCCUUUUAUCUCCUAGCUUGUAUUGAUAGCAGGGGCUGCCACAACCCAGGUGCAAGACCUUGCACUUGGAUUUGUUGAACCCCAUGAAGUUCUCCUGGGCCCACUGCUCAAGUGUGUCUAGAUCCCUCUGGAAGGCAUCUUGUCCCUCUGAUGAGACAACUGCACCACCACAGCUUGGUGCCAUACGCAAACUUGCUGAGGGUGCACUCGACCCCACUGAUAUUAAAUAGGUAUCGGUCCCAGAACUGACCCAUGGGGGACAUCUCUCAUCAGUGAUCUCCAUCCAGACAUUGAGCCAUUGACCACCGCUCUCUGAACUUGAUCCUGCAGCCUUCAUCCUUUGAACAGUCCUUCAUCCAUUGAACAGUCUACCCAUGUUAUCCAUAUCUUUCCAAUUUGGAGAGAAGGGUGUGGUGGAGUACCAUGUCAAAGGCCUUGCUGAAGUCCAGAUAGAUCACAGAAUCUCAGAAGUUGGAACGGACCUCAAGAGAUCAUUGAGUCCAACCCCUCUGCUGAAGCAGGUACCUUACAAUAGGUCACACAGGUAGGCAUCCAGCCACGUCUUGAAUAUCACCCUAGAAUGGGACUCCACAACCUCUCUGGGCAGUCUGUUCCAGUGCUGUCAACCUUACCAUAAAGUUCUUCCACAUGUUAGUUUGGAACUCUAUGUUCAAGUUUUAGGCCAUUACUCCUUGUCCUAUCACUACACACCAUCAAGAAGAGCCUGGCCUCCAUUUUGCCUCCCACCUCCCUUUAGAUAUUUAUAAACAUUUAUCCAGUAUCCUCUCAGUCUUCUUUUACCCAGGGUGAACAGACCCAGGUUACUCAGCCUUUCCUCAUAGGGGAGAUGCUCCAGACACUUAACCAUCUUUGUGGCCAUCCGUGGGACUCUUUCAAGGAGAUACCUGUCUUUUCUGAACUGAGGAGCCCAGAACCAGACACGGUAGUCUAAAUGUGGCUUCACCACAACAAAGUAGAGGGGGAGAAUCACCUCCCUUGACCUGCUGGCCAUGCUCUUUUUAAUGCAUUCCAGGAUAUCAUUGGCCUUCUUGGACACAAGGGCACACUACUGGCUCCUGAUCAACCUGUUGUCCACCAGGGCCCCCAGAUCCUUCUCUGCAGAGCUCCUCUCCAGCAGGUCAUCCCCUAACAAGUACUGAUGCAUACAAACAACAUCAGUGGCUCUUGCGUCGUCCACUGAUGCAGUUACACCAUCAUAAAAGGCCACUGGGUUGGUCAAGCAGGAUUUGCCCCUGGUGAAGCCAUGCUGGUUCUUCCGUAUCACCUGCCUGUCUUCCCUGCACCUUAGCAUAUCUUCCAGGAGGAUCUGCUCCAUGAUCUUUUCUGACAUAGAGGUGAAACUGACAGGUUUUUUACCCUCCUUAAAAAUGGACAUGAUAUUGCCUUUCUUUCCAGUAAUGAGGGAAUUCCCCUGAUUGCCAUGACUUUUCAAAUAUCAUUGAGAGUGGCUUUGCGACUACAUCAGCUAAUUUCCUCUUGUUCAUCGCUGGUGAAAAAUGCAUAGCUAAUGGUGAUGACUGUGUUGAAGAAGAGUGUUUUGUACCUGAGAAUUUGCUCUAUUAAAUAGUGCAGCUGUGCUCUUUGCAUCAGUUGUAGUUUCCAUUGAUAUAAUUUGGAGGCAUUACUUUCAAAGCAACCUUCAUAGUUGUGGCCCUAGACAAUUCCUCUUCACUCAGUGCGGCCCAGGCAUGCCAAAAAGUUGGACACCCAUUCUCUAAUCUGUGUCAUCAUCACGUGUUGUCACAUACUGGAUUAUUUUGAAUCAUCUGGUAUAUUGCUCCUGCAAAUAAGAGAAACACCUUUCUACUGCUGCGAAAGAAAAUAUUCUGGUAGGUAAGAACGGGAAGAGUUACUGAGGAUUGUACUGAUUUAACUCCAUUUCACUGUUCAUAGGAGUGCAGCUUCUUCUGAGGGACAAAUUUAUGCUUCUGUUUGGAAAGCAGAUGUCAUUGUACAAGUCACAGCUUCAAUACAUGUUGACAGUGCUACUGUUGGAAUGUACUUGGAUGCUGCAUCAACAAGUGGUCAUGACAAAGCUCCUGAGAGCUCCAUUGACACCAACCCAGCAAUAGCUAACCCUAUCAGAUUGGGUUAAAAUGCAUGGGCCCAGGAGAGCCCGUGUGCUGGCUGGGAGCUGGAGAAGGGACAGUAGCUUCUGAGCCACAGUCAGGCUCCUGAACCUGCCUGUCACUGUGGCAUCAGGACAAUAAGGGGAAAUGGCUGAGAGGAAACAGAGCAAGACUGUGGGGGAAAAUCAAUAGCAGGGAGCUGUGGAGGAGCUGGGGUAGGUGAAACCUCUCCAUUUGACCUACUUUAGCAGGUGUAGUUGUUUAGAUGGAAUUUAAAUCUCUGAAGAUAUGUGGGGAACUUCCUGACAUCACCCAAAGAUGGGCAGGGGCCAGGGCAGGGCUACACAUGUCAAGUAUGUGCUUAACCAUAACCAGGUCCAAACCCUUCAGUGCCAGCAGAGAUUUCCACGUGCGCUGGCUCAUUCUUGAGCAGGCAGAGCUCCAUAGGGGACACAGAAUCACUGGUGAAUGAGGUAAAGCACAAAGGUAUACCAAAAAUAGGAUAUUUGGAACACAGUUCUGCAGCGUGCUAGGUCUUCAGCUACCAAUUUCAGAUAUAAGCUGUACCUGCUUUGUCCUUAUGUUGUCCAGAACCGUGUAACAUCUGUCAAUACUGUUAACCUCAGGAAUUUAAAAUAAUUAGUUGUUAGUUAUUUAUAAUUAGUUACUUGUCUCUCACUCCAACAUUGCAGGAUUUUGAGGGAAAAGAUUGGGAAAAAAGAAAUAAAUUCAAAUGUAUCUGCAUAUUCUGAUCUUGCUUCUGGGUUUUGUUUUGUAAACUACUAUUUGCAAAUUUAUCCCCCAAAUUUUGAAUGCUAUUAGACUUCUUUUCUCUUUCAUUAUAGUCUUUUUUCCAUCUGUCUUUCACUCCCUCUUUCCCUUCCUCCCUCUCUCCUUACCCAGUUCUUUCGUCCCUCCCUGACUCCUUGCCUGCCUGUCUGCCCAUUUCGUAUGUAAUUACAUGAUUCAGACCAGGAGAAUUAAGGAACAGGAAAACAUAUGAUGAAACUGAAGGUAAAAGUAGAAAAGCCAUCAAACUAUGUGCUGUUACUGCAAAACAUUCUAAACAAAAGUAAACAAGAAAUAGAAGCUGAAGGGGCAGAGUUCAACAUUUCUGUCAGGUCAUGCCAAAGUGAUUUACAUUUUAUAGAUACCGUGGCUGGUUUAUCCUUCUCCUCUUCACUUACCUCAGCUGCAGAGGUGAAGCAAACUUUUCUCAAAGCCUAAUCCUCUCUAUUGGUAAUAUUUUCAGAGGCUGGUUCCUCUUCCCCCUCCCUUUUUCUGCAUCAUUUUCUCCACAGGGUGACAGGAUUACAGCUGUCGUGCCCAUUCUGAGUUGUGGUGCGCACUCUGUCAUCCAUGUCAUUCUAACUCUAUAUCUUGCUGGCAGUAAAAGAGUGACACAAAUUGUUUUCCUGCCAGAUUAACAUUGUCUAGUAGAUUUAAUGCUCAUAAUCUAAUGUGAGAGAGAACAUUAUAUGGGCAACAGAAGUCAAUCUGCUUGCAACGAUUGUCCAGCAUUGCUGAAAAUAAAUAAAUGAAUGCAUGAAUGAAUAACACUGCAGUUCUAGCCCUGUGGAAGCAGAGCACCAUUCUGCACUGUUCUGUACCUUCUGAGGCGGUGCCCUAUAGUGACAGUGCUGCCCAGCUGUAUGACCGGUAGGAUGACGUGGAAAUGCAGCAAAGGAGAAGGAGAAGCGAUAAAUAAAUAAAUGAAUAAAUAAAUAAAUAAGAAGGAAAGAAAGAAAAAUGAAAUAAGGGAGAAGGAAAAGGAAACAGGAAAAGCAAAAAAGGAAAAGGAAACUCGAGGUCGAGUGAGAGCAGUGUGUACUCAGCGAACUGCAGAAUGAAACCUUGGCAAAUGAAAAAAAUCAGUGUGAGUACAGCUUGUUGCAUAGAAGUGUGAUUUAUCUGCUUUUAUUUUCAAUAGUUCCAGUGGCAUCAUAAUGUAAGAUUUUAUAACCUAUUAAAUCAUGCCUGACGUUUAUUGUUGUAUUUUGGAGUGGAUACAUUACAGAUAGGCAGGAGCUGCACAGCAGUUUCUUCUCAGAGGUCUUAUUCCAUCCUCGUGCCCUUUUAUAACUUUAGCUCAGAAACUGCCCAAUGUUAACUGAAGAUAAAGAUUUUGGCCAAGAAUCAAAAAAUAAUCAACUUUUCAAUUACCAUUGAGUCGUUCGGAUCGCCCUGAUAUGAGGUGGCCUUUAUUUAUGUAGUUGUCUUCUAUUUCCAAAAGCAGAUCUGCAUACAAAAGGGUUAACAGCAACAGUCUCUUUGGGCUUCGCAGUAACCUUCAGAGCAAACAGGUUGCCCUUUCACAGGAAAGAGGUGGUAAUCAAUCUAAGUUGCUCACCAUUUUUUUUUUUUUUGUCUGUGUGUAGGGAGUGACAUAAUUAAUACCAGUAACUUGAGUUGACCCCAAUAUUAUGUUGGGAGAUGGCUGAGAAGAGGCAUAGAGGUGGGUGGAUAUGGGUGCCAAGGUCAUGUCCUUAUCUGGCCCAACUCUCCACACUUUUCUGUUGCCUAUGGAGGGUCUCCGUGAUGUCAGCCUGGACACUGUUCUUAGCAGCUUCCAUCUCUGCAACUUUAGCAUCUUUUCUGUAUACCAUUCACUUGAAUGGAAGGAGGGCAGCCUACUGUCAGGGGAAGCAGCAGUACCAGCAGUGAUGCAGGAUGUGGCACUGAAUGUUUGUCCUAUCCUGGCUCUUGGUGCUGGAGGACCAGCUGCCUCCUCAACAGACCUCAGGGCAUCCACAUGUGUGCAUGGUAGGACAGAGGCCUAACUUGUUAGAUGUGUUGCUCACGCACAACGUGCGCAACAUCAGGGAUGGCAGCAGCAGCAGCACCUGCCUGCUUGUGGUCCACUGCCCCUUCCUACACUCAUGUAGUCAGUCUCUCACUAGACAGGCCCAUCUGUGUGGCAACAUCCUGAAGAAAGCUGAGGCUAAGUUUCGAGUUGCACCGGUUGAGACAGGCUGAGAGAGCAACUGCAAGAAGAGAGAGGGUGGAAUAGACAAGUCCUGCCAGCAGCAGAGGGAAAGGGAAUAGUGAGACAGUGGAUGAGGAAGGGAAAAGCAGUGGAGAGGAGAUGAGGAGAAGAGUCUUAGCUCAGGAGGGGCUUCACCAGCCACUUCAGGAGGAGAGAGAUGAAAAGAUUAAGUGAAGGAAUGGUAACCUUGAUCAGAGGGACAUUCAGCCUACCUGCCUGGUACCUAGGAGGGAGCUGCCAGCAGUCAAGGGAUCUUUGCUAUAUCAUAUAUCACUAUGGUACAGGGACUUCUGUGACCAGAAGGAAGGCUGGCUUCAUCUACACAGUGAAGAUAGUUUCACAUUCCAGGGCCUGAACUAAGUGCAGGUAUCAGUGGUCACAGCUACCAUUCAAAAAAUAAAGAUAUAUUUCAAUGUUAGAUAGCAUCUUACAAGCAGUAAUUAAACUUUUACAACACCCAUGUGAGGUAAGUGAAUAAUUAUCACUCCUAUUUUAAAGCUAUGAAAGGAGAGAGGGUAAGUGGUUUGCCGAAGGCCACGCAAUGAGUCAGUGGCAGUGCUUCCAUUAGCAGGCAUCAGCUCCUGCUUCCGAGGCCUGUCCAUGAGCCACAGCAGCAUUGCAGUCUCCCCAUCGAGAGAUGAAAGCAAGCUGAUUUCUCAAGCACUUUGAUGAGAGAAGGAAGGUUAGAAAUAGCCCACGGCUGUUUCUGGAGAAAGAGUCAGGACAGAAGGAGAAUUUCUAAAGAGGAGAGUGGAAAAGUGCCAGGCUCAGGAAAGGGAAUGGUGAUAAAGUAACUAUUGAUAUGUGUGGUUAUGAAGGGAAUAAAGCUGGCAAACCAGAACCAAAUGACAGGGAAGAAAAAAUAGGUCAGUGGUGAAGAUAGAUUUGUCAGAGAGCUUUGUGGCAUUUGAGAGGCCUAGGGGAGAGGUGGGAAGGGAAUGAGAGGGGAAAGAGAGAUGGGGAGAAAUUCCAGUGAAGUGCAUACAGCAGCAUUUAAAAACUGCUGCACUUGGAGGCAGGGAAAUAAAAGCCACUGAGCAUGAGGCCUUUCAGUGCCUGCCCAAUUACAAUCGUGCUAUUGAGUCUCACUCAGCAGCUGUGGAUCCUGGAAUGGUCUGCCAGGCUAGGUAAGUGUUGGCACCAUCAUCUCACUUACAGGAGUACCAAGGCUCGGAGCAGUGUAGAAACUUACCUGUGGUUGUUCAGCAAGGCAAAAAUUAUUACAAUAAGUGGAAUGUGAAAUAGAAAGACAGAUAGGGACACACAGUUCUCAGUGGCAUAGGAGAGAACAAGAAAAAUGAUGACUGAUGUCAGCAGCCCAAAUCUAUUUUUCCUAGCUCUAGAAUACAUCAUGCUGAGUAAAAUGGCAGGUAGAGGCCAGGAGAUACGGAUCUUUUAUGUUUUAAACUACAAGCUAAGAAAUACUGGCAGGCAGAUACGUUAAUAUAUGCACAUGCAUGCAAAUGCACGUGGACACAACACAAUUAGCCUGACACUGGAUUUGGUAUUGUACAUGUCCUUAGAUUAGUUAUUUCUGCAGUUUCUCAACUUUCCUCCUUUUAGCAAAACUAAGAUAAUGACUCUUACCUACAAAACAGAGACUCACUUAUAACCUAGAUUUUGCAAUGCUAAGUGUGCUUAACUUGAAGCUGCAAAUGAGCACCCAUUUUGCUUUUUUGGUUGUCUUGUGCCACGGAACACAAGCCACAUGUCUGACAGUUGGUGGCUGCUACACCAGAAUGAGCAUCACCUGAAAAAGUAAAACCUCAGAAAAUAGCUGCCAUCAUUACUAGUAGACUCUGAAAGAUUGUCAGAAAGAGUAGUGUUUUCAAGGCCUAAGAAAGUGAGGUGCUUGAGAACAAAAGUUCCUCUUCAUUUCAAAAGCCACCCUUCCUAAACUCUGCUUCCUCCUUUCCCUGGCAAAAAAAUGAAGCUACAGCUACUUUUACCUUAGUUUGUGGAAGGCAGAGAAGCAUCUUGCAGUUUAAAGUAAGAGGAGGAAACCAAUUCAACAAAUCUGUCGAGUGAGUCAGGAAAGAGCAGUGUAUAAAAUAAAGCUUAUUUUUAGUAACACUCCUUUGGUUUUAAAAGUUAUUCCAACUUCACCUCUUCCUUUUUUUCAGCUUCACAGGCAGAUCAGAGCUCCUUCUGCCACCUCUCCUUCCACCUGGCGCAGAGGGCCAUGGUACUUCAGCUGUGCAGUGCUACCACCCUCUGGCCACUUCAAUUCCACAGUCCUCAAUCUGCAGGAGACUCUGAACUUAGUCGUAUGCCUCCUACAUCUACUCUUGGGUCACCGUGGGUGAAGUUCCCAGCUGGGCAACUGGCAUCCAAAUUGCGCUGGAUGAUUGAUAAAAGAAAUAGGAAUGGCUCCUCAGCCCUUUCAAGAAGAAUUUUGUCCAUUCUAACAGAUGUUCCUGCACAAGUUUGCCAUCACUCUAAAGCAAGUGUGUCAUGGCUGACCAACUGUGUCACCCCUGGGAUCCCCCAGCUGUAUCACUUAGUACCAUACCUGCUAUGGAGAGCAAGGGAGCACAGGCAUCUGGCACACUUCCUACAUAUCAGUCCCACCUGCAGCACCUUGUCACUGGGCCUGUUUGCAUCAGACAGAGCUGCACAAUGUGUAAAGUGCCUUUGUCAGCUAGUAUGGUGGAUUCUGGCUUAUAAUCACUAUGGCUAAAUAGAAAAAAAGCUUGACAAAAUCCACACUGCAUUUUUAAUUGCUGUUGGAAUCGUCAGAACUAACCCAUCCUGUUCCUGUUUCUCUCUUCCUGUUUCUGAUGCCCACACUCAUCAUGCUUGUGCUUGGCAGGGGUUCAGAGCUGCAACUGGAAGCAUCCUGAGGCUUGUGAGAUCUGAGUAACUGGUACUCUGUUGCAAGCCUAACAGCACAGAUCUCUUGGAGAACCACACGAUAUGCUUGAUUUUUAAACCUGUUGUUUUUAAACUAAUAUUUAGAAAUCCAAAAUAAGUUAGCUGUGCUUCCCUAAAGACAGAAUUAUUGCAGAAUAAUUGGGGUAGUUUCAAAGCAAAUGUGAAUCCUUAAUCACUUGUAAAUAUUGCACAGCAGUAACAGGCUGUCUUAACAGGAACUUGUGUCCUCCAUCCAACAAAUGCUUGCAGAUCACAGAAAACAAUCAAGCCCAAAGUCUAGAAAAACCAUCUCCAGCAAACAGCACGGGGAUUUCAUAAUUAAGCAUAAGUUGUGAAUGCGUGUCAGUAGUCUCAGUUUGGAAAAGAACAUUUCCUCAGUCAACGUAAAACAGUUUCAUGACUGUGAAGAAAGAACUGAAUGGGCAUUUAUUAUUUACUCUCUUAGGAAGAUCAGAAAUUAGGUGAUUAAAAUGUUAUUCACUGUUUUAAAGUGAUGAUACUUUUGAUCAAAUUAAUAAAAUUCUCAUUACUCACUAUAACCACAGUGUCUUCUAUAUGCUGAGACAGCUACAACCCUGCUACUCUUUUCACAAUUCAUUCGCACUCUUCGUUUAAUUUAUGUUCUUAUUUCUAAGAAUACUGCAGAAAGUCUAUGGGGAAAACAGAUUUCUUUUAUCUUCCCCAAAAGCUGGAGCAUGGAGUUAUUCAUUUGUUAGCUUUUGGGAAACAGAACAGCAUAGACAAAUGGCAGGAAAUUCAGAAUUCAAGUGCAGAGCAAGUAUCCGAUAAAAUAAAUAAAUGAAUAAAGCAAGCAAACAUGUUAAACCUAUUCUCAAUCUGAGCAGCUCAUUUGACUGGUCUUCUAGUUGCUAUAUUGCAAAGCAAAAGUUAUGCAUCUUGCUCGAGGAACACCACACAAAUUAGAAGAAAUGCCAACACUGGAAAAUGCAGUAGUCUUAGAUUGGUCUGCCAUUUGGGAGGACUGGUUUUCUGAUUACAUGACACUCGUCAUGUUUCUUUUUCUAUACCUGUUUUGUGUGAACGUUACUAACUCGUCUGGGUAAUGUUUUAUCUGGAGCUUUACUGUCCCUGCUGAAUUCCAUUUGCUUCUGUUCCUGUAAUGUACACAGUCUCAAUUUGGAAGACUAAACACUCUAAAAACUUUGGAGUUAUGGUUUUUGACUGCUCCACUACCAAUUUCUGUAUUCCAUAUAAGCUACCAUUUAAUUGACAAGUUAGAUUAUGAAUUAACUUCCCUACCACCUGCCCUGCACGUUUUCUGCAGUUAGCUAAAUGUACUUGUAGGAGGUCUGGCAUUUAUUUCUCUGAAUGACAAAAUGGAAUAGGCAACACUAAUCUCCUACAAGCAGACUUUCCUGCUCCAUUUUCAAUAUUUUGAUGAAUUCCACUGAUUUCUUGGUGUACGUUAGUGUAUAUACACAAAUUGGUUAAAAAAGUUUCUAUUUUAUCUAUUUAUCUAUUAUCUAUUUUAUUUAUUUUUUUCUAUUUAUCUAUUUUAUUUUUACCGAAAGCUUACAAUCAUGUUUCCAUGAUUACCAGUUAUACCUAAUUUUUGUGAUUGGGUGCACCAGACAGUUUGCUGAUGACACCAAGCUGAGUGGUAUAGUUGAUACAAUAGAGGGGAGGGAUGCCAUCCAGAGGAACC